UCAGAGAACAGGUCAAAGGAAUGCCACGC
RNAcentral lists this non-coding RNA (29 nucleotides) under Mus musculus (house mouse). Lineage: Eukaryota; Metazoa; Chordata; Mammalia; Rodentia; Muridae. The record is from RNAcentral.